CACUAGCCACAGGAGGUGAGAGACAGGGAGAUGAGCAGAAGCAGGAAAUUAGAGCUGGAGUGACUAGAAGAAGUUUAGGCUCUCAAGACUCCCUGAAGAUACUGGAAGGCAAUAGGAGGAAGGGCUGAGCUGUUUCCUAUGGGAUGCAGGUGGCAGCUCAAGCCAUUGUUAUUCAGGAAGAUCAAUUUUGCGACUAAGGUGAAAUAAUACAGGUGACACAGGAUACGUUCCUUAAAUGUCAGAAAAUGUAGAAAACAAUAUGAAAAAUUUUAACUACACGUUGACAAUAUCCAAAGCACCAGUAAAUGUGCAAAAUAUACCCGGAGCCCUGGCAUCCAAGGAGACCACAGCUUUAGGGAACAAGCUGUGACUGACUGGCUUGUCCCAGGACCAGUGGCAUCUCUCACCAAGGCAUGCCCAGACAUAGGCCUCACGACUCACCUGUUUGCCAUUCUUUCCAAGACUUCCACUUCUGCACACCAGAAGAGGCCCUACAAGACCACUGUUAGUGUCUUUUGUCCCAUUUACUGCGGAGUAGUAGAACCAGGUCAAGCAGCUGGGAUCCGUGGAGCCCAGUGUCCACUCUCCGGGGCCCUUGGCCACCAUGAAGGCAUCUUCCAACGAGGCCGGGAAGACCAUGAUGGUGUCCUUUCUGUGAUUCCGAGAGAUCAGAGUUUGGCCGUGGAGAUAGAUGGAGUGAUCAUUAGCUGCACCACCUAUGCCAACGAAGUGCCACUUGAUCCUGUCUUCUGCACACAUGGUGAGGGGGGGCAGAUUUCCAUAUAUGUACCCAUUUAUGGCUGAGAAUAAAUGUAUAUUUAUGGUAAA
Lemur catta (Ring-tailed lemur) is the source of this 828-nucleotide long non-coding RNA. RefSeq lists it as uncharacterized. The record is from RefSeq and is a predicted model, not a curated record. The transcript has 3 exons. NCBI's taxonomy places the organism in Eukaryota, Metazoa, Chordata, Mammalia, Primates, Lemuridae.